GGUGCAGGGUCGGCUGACGGCCGAGGUCGGCGGGCUGUUCCUGGCGGCCCUGCCGGCGGUCGGGUUGGGGGCGUGGCUCGGCUUCACCCUGUACCGCC
RNAcentral lists this transfer RNA (98 nucleotides) under Thalassobaculum fulvum. RNAcentral describes it as "tRNA-Arg". Lineage: Bacteria; Pseudomonadati; Pseudomonadota; Alphaproteobacteria; Rhodospirillales; Thalassobaculaceae. The record is from RNAcentral.